GGCUUUCCUGCGUCCCAGGGGAAGAAAAGAUGAUAAAGCCACAGGAUCUACACAACCUUCGUUUUUCUACUAGGAAAGAUCAAAACCCUUAGAAUGAAUUCCAGGUUCCUGCUACCAGACUGUGAGACACGAAGCUGUGCUCAGACCUCGGCAAAUCCAGUCGUGUUGUUUGAAAUUCGUGGACGUAAAGGAAACAGUGAGAAAAAUAUUUACAAUUGAAACCCACGGCAGCGGGGAUUCCGAUGCUACAGAUAUUUGUUUUUUCAUUUUCCUUUGAUGUGUCUUGGAUCUUCCCAUUAGAACUAGAAGUGGUGGAAA
Long non-coding RNA from Suricata suricatta (meerkat), 318 nucleotides. RefSeq lists it as uncharacterized. NCBI's taxonomy places the organism in Eukaryota, Metazoa, Chordata, Mammalia, Carnivora, Herpestidae. The transcript is spliced from 2 exons. The record is from RefSeq and is a predicted model, not a curated record.